Molecule: long non-coding RNA, 1114 nt
Filed under: Monodelphis domestica (gray short-tailed opossum)
Lineage: Eukaryota; Metazoa; Chordata; Mammalia; Didelphimorphia; Didelphidae
Description: lncRNA (ENSMODG00000038838.1)
Source: RNAcentral
CUAGCCUAUUUGUGUGAUAGCCAGUUGAAUCCACUGUUCAUCACAGUUCUUGUAUGAAAGCAGUUGAUUGCACAAAGCUGCUAUUUUAUGAGUUGGACUUAAUUACUUUGAGAGUGGUUUCUUGGUGGGGUGGUUUUUUUCUGCUUAGGUAAUAAGUUGUCCACUCCUUAAAAAGAGAAGCCAGUUCAGGGUUCAUGAUACGCAAUUUGCUCAGAUAAAUAAUUCUAGGAUAUAUUUCAUUGUAAUCCAAAUUGAAAUGGCCAUAAAGGCUUUCAGCAUGAAAACAAUUCUCACUUAAAUUUAGAUUGCUUCCAUUCUAUAAGUUGAGGUCUUGCAUGGAAAUUUCCAAACUAAGCAUCAUGAUGUAAAAUUCACAUUAUAACUCAAAUGUAACAGUGCAGAAAACUGAAUAAUAUGGAGGCAUGUUUAACCUUCCUAGAUACUGGGAGGGAUUGUAAUUUCAAACUUUUGUGCACUUAGAUUAAAUCAUAAUGCAACAGUUUUGUGGCUGCCGGGUAAGAGUGGAACUGUCGAAUGGUGAAAAAAGAAGUCGUAAUCGUGGUCCACCACCGUCUUGGGGUCGUCGCCCAAGGGAUGAUUAUCGGAGAAGAAGUCCUCCACCCCGCCGCAGAUCACCACGAAGAAGAAGCUUUUCUCGCAGCCGGAGCAGGUCCCUUUCAAGAGAUAGAAGAAGAGAGAGAUCACUGUCACGGGAGAGAAAUCAUAAGCCUUCUCGUUCCUUUUCCAGGUCUCGUAGUCGCUCUAGGUCAAAUGAAAGGAAAUAGAACAUCGGCCUUCAAGAGGAGUGAUGUACAGGAAGUAGCCCUUCAUUUGACAGGAGCAUGUACAGAACAUUACAAGUUUUGUUUGAGCCUUCAUAAGCUCAGUGCAUUUUUAAAAUGUUUUAGCUGUUAAAAUUUGUUUAUUGUCUUGUAACAGUGACACAUGUAAAGAUGUGUAUCUGUAUGGUUUGAAACAGAUCAUAUAAGGCAUGUAAUACCAAGAAUUUGUUACUUUACAAUGUUCCCUUAAACACAAUUUUAAUUUCUAUUGAUUGCUAUUCAGUUUAUUUUGCAUCAAUUUGCAAAUAAACUCAUAAAACCUGUAGUGGCCA